RNAcentral lists this non-coding RNA (39 nucleotides) under Lotharella globosa. The record is from RNAcentral. Lineage: Eukaryota; Cercozoa; Chlorarachniophyceae.
UUUUUUUUUUUUUUCUUUUUUUUUUUUUUUAAAAAAAAA